GCUGGGCGUGGUAGUGCACGCCUGUAAUCCCGGCUACUUGGGAGGCUGAGGUAUGAGAAUCGCUUGAACCCAGGGAGUCAAGAGGUUGCAGUGAGCUGAGAUUGUGUCACUGCACUCCAGCCUGGGUGACAGAGUGAGACUCUGUCUCAA
This is a non-coding RNA of Homo sapiens (human), 150 nucleotides long. It matches the Rfam family "Metazoan signal recognition particle RNA". Rfam says of the family: The signal recognition particle (SRP) is a universally conserved ribonucleoprotein. It is involved in the co-translational targeting of proteins to membranes. The eukaryotic SRP consists of a 300-nucleotide 7S RNA and six proteins: SRPs 72, 68, 54, 19, 14, and 9. The record is from Rfam. Lineage: Eukaryota; Metazoa; Chordata; Mammalia; Primates; Hominidae.